Molecule: non-coding RNA, 1462 nt
Organism: Danio rerio (zebrafish)
Lineage: Eukaryota; Metazoa; Chordata; Actinopteri; Cypriniformes; Danionidae
Source: RefSeq, a predicted model, not a curated record
ACUGAAGAGAGACACCAGCUACUAACAAACAUCACCAACCUCACAGAAGACAGAGACACACUGCUAACUAAGGUCACCAACCUCACAGAAGACCAAAAUCAGCUACAUGCCAAGAACAUAAGACUUACUCAAGAGAAAGAUGAAUUAUCGUCCAAUGAACAAGACCUGAUUAAACAAAGAGACCACCUAAAUCAACUGUUAAAAAUGGGUAAUUAUUAGUAGAUGUAAAUGACUUGAUGUGUUCUUUGAUUACAUUUUCACAUUUGUCAGUUUGUCUGAACAUAAGUGUAACAUUUGUUAUGAUGUGAUGAUGAUCAUGUGUAUAUCGUUUUACUAUACAGUAAAAUUCAUUCAGCUCAGAGGGCAAAGUUGAACAAAGCUCAUAAUGUAGUUUUUUGGUGUUCUCAAUAUUCUUGUGUACUGAAACAAAGUGCUAAUAGCUGAACUGCUUGUGUUUACAGAAUGGAUUUACUACCGUUCCAAUCUUUACUACUUUUUCAAGUUGAAAAAAAGCUGGACUGAGAGCAGAAGAUACUGUAGAAACCAUGGAGCAGAUCUGGUCAUCAUAAACAAUAGAGAAGAGCAAGAUUUUGUUGAUAAAAUAACUGCUGGUGAGAAAGCCUGGAUUGGUCUGUCUGACAGUGAUGUGGAGGGCAGUUGGAAAUGGGUUGAUGACAGCAAACCAACCUCUUGGAUCUGGCAUCAUGGAGAACCUAGUAGUGGUGGAGGACAAGUGGAAGAAGACUGUGUUUUAACUGUUACAUCAGCAUGGGCUGAUUACCCAUGCGAUGCUGAAUUCCAAUGGAUCUGUGAGAAGAGAGUUUUUAAAUAACCAUUUUCAUAUUUAUUGUCACCUCUUUUUUGCUAUUUUUGUUUACUCUGUUGGAAAAACCUCUCGUUAAAACCAUCUGAUGCUGAAAUCUUAAUCCAUGUAUUAAUCAUGUCACAUCUGGAUUACUGCAAUACUAUUGUUUUGGUCUGCCUAAAAAAAACGAAUUGCCAGGAUGAAGUGUUUAAAACUCAGCAGCAAGAGUUCUCAUUUCUGCUCACAUUACUCCUCUACAAGCAUCACUGGAUACCUGUGCCAUUGCAUAAACCGUUGAAAAUAUUACUCAUAUUUAAAUCAUUAACUGUGCUUUCACAUCUUUCUGGCCUACUGUACCUUUACUCUCCUGGCUCUAAGCUCAGAUCAUCUGAGCUUGAUCUUUUGGCUGUUCCUCUUUGUCAGCUGUCCACUUUAGGUGGAAGGUUUGGUGUCAAUGCUCACAAGUUAUGAAAUGUACUGCCUCUUACACUUAGAAAUAUUAGAUUUGUCUACUUUUAAUGUAUAUUUUUAAUUUGUAUUUUGUAUAAUGUAGCUUCACCGGCCAUAUAUGUAUGUUGUCCAUGUGAAUGUGCAAUUUGUUAAGUGAUCUUAAGCAAUGGGCACUACAGUGUGUAAAUAAAACACGAGCUGUUGGUU